Non-coding RNA from Marmota monax (woodchuck), 629 nucleotides. The record is from the annotation of a RefSeq genome assembly. Lineage: Eukaryota; Metazoa; Chordata; Mammalia; Rodentia; Sciuridae.
GGUUCAAGACAGGGACACAUCUCAGGAGCACAGAGGACCUGGGCAGCCUGACCUCAGCCUCUCCAGAUAUCAGAAGAGCCUCACCCACAUGCAAAUCCCUCCUCCUGCUCUGGGUUCAAAGGCCCUCUGGGCUGUGGGAGCUCCCAGCUCUCUGCUCACACAGGGCUGAGGUCUCUGGGAAGGCAGGUGUGGUCUAGAAGAUGAGGCUGCUGGGUCUUGUCCUGUGCCUGGUCACAGCUCCCCAAGGUGUCCUGUGCCAGGUGCAGCUGCAGGAGUCAGGACCUGGCCUGGUGAAGCCCUCGCAGACCCUGUCCCUCACCUGUGCUGUCUCUGGUUACUCCAUCACCAUUGGUUACUGCUGGAACUGGAUCCGGCAGCCCCCAGGGAAGGGGCUAGAGUGGAUAGGGUGCAUAAGUUAUAGUGGUAAUACUAACUACAGCCCAUCCCUCAAGAGCCGAGUGUCCAUCUCCAGAGACACGUCCAAGAACCAGUUCUCCCUGCAGCUGAGCUCUUUGACCUCUGAGGACAUGGCCACCUAUUACUGUGCCAGAGCCACUUUGCGGGGACCUCAGUGUGAGAUGUGUCAGGAGUGCUCUGCUUCAGCAGCGGCUGCACAGUCUCCUCUCUAG